RNAcentral lists this ribosomal RNA (491 nucleotides) under uncultured Bacteroidota bacterium. Its description in RNAcentral is "bacterial SSU rRNA". It matches the Rfam family "Bacterial small subunit ribosomal RNA", at positions 78 to 563 of the family's 1533-position model. The record is from RNAcentral. Lineage: Bacteria; Pseudomonadati; Bacteroidota.
GUUUACUAUUUUGGUGGCGACCGGCGCACGGGUGAGUAACGCGUAUGUAACCUACCUUAUACAGGAGUAUAGCCCGAAGAAAUUCGGAUUAAUCCUCCAUAGUAUUUUCUAAUGGCAUCAUUUGGAAAAUUAAAGCUUCGGCGGUAUAAGAUGGGCAUGCGUCCUAUUAGCUAGAUGGUAAGGUAAUGGCUUACCAUGGCUACGAUAGGUAGGGGGCCUGAGAGGGUGAUCCCCCACACUGGUACUGAGACACGGACCAGACUCCUACGGGAGGCAGCAGUGAGGAAUAUUGGUCAAUGGGCGCAAGCCUGAACCAGCCAUGCCGCGUGCAGGAAGAAUGCCCUAUGGGUUGUAAACUGCUUUUAUUUAGGAAUAAACCCCUCUACGUGUAGAGGGCUGAAUGUACUAAACGAAUAAGCACCGGCUAACUCCGUGCCAGCAGCCGCGGUAAUACGGAGGGUGCAAGCGUUAUCCGGAAUCAUUGGGUUUAA